Pan troglodytes (chimpanzee) is the source of this 1151-nucleotide long non-coding RNA. RefSeq lists it as uncharacterized. NCBI's taxonomy places the organism in Eukaryota, Metazoa, Chordata, Mammalia, Primates, Hominidae. The transcript is spliced from 3 exons. The record is from RefSeq and is a predicted model, not a curated record.
UGAGUACCAGAAGUAAGGGACCACUGGAGGCCAUUGUGGAGGCUGGAUGCCACAGAUAUGAAAUGCACUGCUGGGUUAGGGUCUCCCCAACAGAGCUGGUCUCAGCAAGUGGUGUCCAUCAUGGGGGCUCAGAUCCAGGUUGAAGGGUCGCCGGAGCAGCGGUUGGAGAACGUGGAACUAGCUGGAGGACACCUGAAUACUCUUAAAGCAAUCCCCAUGGAGGAGUUAAUCCUUGAGGAUUGGAACCUAACUCUCUUUGGCAAAUGGAUGUCACACAUGUUACCUCGUUUGGGAGACUAGCUUAUGUACAUGUAUGUGUAGACACCUUUUCUCACUUUGUCUGGGCUACAUGCCAAUCAGAAGAGUCUUCUGCUGUGUUAAAUGUCACCUUUUGCAGUGUUUUGCUGUGAUGGGCAUUCCAGCUUCUAUUAAAACAGAUAAUGCCCCAGGUUAUACUAGCCAAGCUCUAGCUACAUUUUUCUCUAUAUGGAAUAUUAAACACAUUACUGGUAUCCCAUACAAUUCUCAAGGACAAGCCAUAGUGGAAAGAAUGAAUCUUUCCCUAAAAUAGCAGUGCAAAAGCCGAAAGGAGGAAAUAGAGAAUAUGGAACCCCACAGAUGCAACUGAAUCUAGCAUUAUUAACUUUAAAUUUUUCAAGCCUGCCCAAAGGCCAGAUGUUAACAGCAGCUGAACAGCAUCUACAGAAACCAGCUGCAAAGACAGAAGCAGAACAAUUGAUUUGGUGCAGAAAUCCGAUAACAAAAAGUUGUGAAAUAGGUAAAAUAAUAACUUGGGGUAGAGGUUAUGCUUGUGUUUCUCCAGGCCAUAAUCAAGAGUCGAUUUGGAUACCAUCAAGACACCUGAAACCUUAUCAUAAGCCAGAUGCCAAGGAAGAGACUCUGGGAGUAUCCCGAGGAUCCCCCAGUUGCAGCCAUGUUGAGAUUGACAACCCCAACUGUCAUGAGCAACACCCAUCGAACACAGCCACCCACCUAGGGAUGGAUCAAGAAGCUGUCACAGAUGGCAGAAGAAAACCUGAGGAAAGCAGGACAACCACUCACUAUGAGUAAUUUAAUGGUAGCUAUGAUAGCAGUGAUCACCAUUGCCAUGAGUAUUCCUUCAAUAAAGGCUGACACAGGGAAGAAUUAUA